GGAAAUGACUAUAGCUCAGUGGUAGAGCACAUCCUUUGUGUGCAGAUGAUCCUAGCUUCAAUCCUUAGCAUUUCCA
This is a non-coding RNA of Phrynosoma platyrhinos (Desert horned lizard), 76 nucleotides long. Lineage: Eukaryota; Metazoa; Chordata; Lepidosauria; Squamata; Phrynosomatidae. The record is from the annotation of a GenBank genome assembly.